GAUGAACGCUGGCGGCGUGCCUAAUACAUGCAAGUCGAGCGAACAGACGAGGAGCUUGCUCCUCUGACGUUAGCGGCGGACGGGUGAGUAACACGUGGAUAACCUACCUAUAAGACUGGGAUAACUUCGGGAAACCGGAGCUAAUACCGGAUAACAUGUUGAACCGCAUGGUUCAACAGUGAAAGACGGUUUUGCUGUCACUUAUAGAUGGAUCCGCGCCGCAUUAGCUAGUUGGUAAGGUAACGGCUUACCAAGGCAACGAUGCGUAGCCGACCUGAGAGGGUGAUCGGCCACACUGGAACUGAGACACGGUCCAGACUCCUACGGGAGGCAGCAGUAGGGAAUCUUCCGCAAUGGGCGAAAGCCUGACGGAGCAACGCCGCGUGAGUGAAGAAGGUCUUCGGAUCGUAAAACUCUGUUAUUAGGGAAGAACAAAUGUGUAAGUAACUAUGCACGUCUUGACGGUACUUAAUCAGAAAGCCACGGCUAACUACGUG
This 497-nucleotide ribosomal RNA is filed under the name uncultured bacterium. Its description in RNAcentral is "partial 16S ribosomal RNA". It matches the Rfam family "Bacterial small subunit ribosomal RNA", at positions 28 to 507 of the family's 1533-position model. The record is from RNAcentral.